AUGCAAAUGUACAUGCUGGAGGGUAUAUCAAGGUGGAACAUGGGCCGGGCCAAGGAGGCAGUAGAUGUGGAGGGGGCCUCCACCCUAAGAAGCUUUGAUGUUCGGUUGAUGUCCCACCUUAACAACCUAAGCCAGCGUGUGCAUGGUUGUGCUCUGGUGCCAGAGUUCACCCUUCCUGGGAAACCUACUGGCGAACGCAUAGCCGUGGAAUAUUUAUUGGAGCAGACCAAUAGAGGCGACCUGCUGGCUCCAUCACAGGCCUCCAUCUCAGAAAUCCCCUUGCCGGUGCUGGAGGAGGAGGAGGAGGAGGAGGAGGAGGAUGAUGCCAUCAGCAUGCCUGCCAUCAGCGUGCCUGCCAUCAGCGUGCCUGCCAUCAGCGUGCCUGCCAUCAGCGUGCCUGCCAUCAGCAUGCCUGCCUCUGUCACAGAGACCAGCCAAUGUGAUUCGAGGGGCGUUCCGGGGUGGGACGCAGUAGAUGCCCUUGCUGCCUACCUACUCGGAUUAAACCGCACCAUCACGGCCUUGUCAGCCAAGGAGGAGGCGGACAUAGUUCGCCUGUACGCGGCUUUACAUGCGAUGGAUCGGAAACCUUCAAGGUACACCCAGAAGGCAAAGAAGAAGUCGCAUGCGUCAGGAGGACCAUGGAGAGCGCCGAGGAAGCCGAGUGGCUCUGCUCCUGGACAGCAGGCGGCAGAGAGGCUGUACAUGACUCAUGGCCAAGCAGCCCAGGACCCCGAAGUUCACAGGGUCUGUGAGUGUGUCUGCCUCAGACUCUUAAAAGAGUUUGAGCAGUCACGCAACAGGCCAAAGGACACAAAGGGGAAAACAAUGCCCAUCCCUCAGUCCAUCGUAAGCGUGUACAGCCACAUCAAACAGCUGCUUGAGGACAGCAGGGUUGUCUGUGAUGACACAGACCUGGUUCUGGUGCCAGUAAACAACACCACAGUCUCUUCAUGGCUGCUUAGGAGGGAUAAAAGGAAGGACAGGGACAUGCUGCUGCAAGGCACUGUACUGCCCAAACAGGUGCACCUGGCAGAGGAGCCUCUCCCUGCUCUGAACACCCUUCCGGCUGCCCCUGUGCAACAUGCACAUGGGGCAAUGACAUUUGAGGAGCCGGAAAAUCACGAGGGGGAAGCUUUCCCCCGCCAGCGCACUCUAGCGGCGAACAAGCCUCCGCCAUCUCCACCUCCCCAGUUCCCUCCACAAUUUGGGCCACUUCCUCCAUUUCCUCAUCUUCCCCCAUAUCCGCACUUUCCAUUUCCAUAUCCUCAUGCACCUCCACUUCCUCAUGCUCCUCCAUUUCACAUUUCUACUCCAUAUCCUCAUGCUCCUCCAUAUGCUCCUCCAUAUCCUCAUGCUCCUCCAUAUGCUCCUCCAUAUCCUCAUGCUCCUCCAUUUCAUGCUCCUCCACUUCCUCAAGCUCCUCCGUUUCCUAAUUCCCUAUCUCCUGAUGCUCCUCCAUCCCAGCCAAGGGCACGCGCCUGGAGGCUCAAUAAAGCUGCCCAGGAGGAUGAGGAGCUUACGUCAAGGGGGGAUCCGGCACGGAAGAGGCUGAGAAAAGAGAACUACCACUAUACCUGCAAGGGGUGCGGCCAGGCCAAAAAUAAAGUCACUGGACACACCCAGCUGAAGGGGCGGUGGUAUUGUCCUGCCUCAGGAAUGACCCUGGAAGAGUGGAGGAAUAGUGUGUAGUUGCUGUCUUUCUGUCUGUUUGUCUCUUUGUUGUUCCUCUCUGUCUCUCUGUCUGUCUCUCUGUUGUUCGUCUCUGUCGUUAAAAUAAAGUUUAAUAAUUGUAUUUGAGCCAAGAACAGCCUUCACGUCUUUAUUUAAUUUCCUCUUGAAUACCAGGACAGUGAGUGUCAUCCAUAAUUGAAUGUGAUUGUUAAAACUAAAGCCAGUCAGAAUCAGAAUAAGCUUUAUUGCCAGGAAGGUUUGCAUCAACCAGGAAUUAUUUGUGGGUAAGUUGGUGCGGAACAUGUAAUUGCACAACAAACAGUCAACAUAAGAUAAAUAAGACAUAUAGUAUAACCAUAUAUAAAAAGAAAGAAUGUGCAGAAAGUGUAUGUGCAAUGUGUAAAGAUAAUUGUGUGUUACUGUAACACAAGGGCUUUUAUGUUAAUUAAGUGUGUAGUGGAGUUAGAGUCCGUGUGUGUAUCUGGGAGGGGGGGGGGGACACGUGACUCGAGAACAAGCGAAGAUGCAAGCGAUAUCGCCAGAGCCCAGGUUCGAAUCCUGCAAAAGACAUGAAAAUUAAAGUGAUGAUACUGUGUGUAAACAAUGUUGAAAAGAUAAGAGAGGUGAUAAAAAAUGAUAUAGUGCACGUUUUCCUCCUUUUUUCUCCUUUUCUUUUUCUCUCUUUCCCCCCUCUUUCCUCUCUCUUUUUUUCUUUUCCCCCGGCCGGGCAGUCCCUUUUGCCCCUUUUUUGGCCGAGUGGUUAAGGUGAUGGACUGCUAAUCCAUUGUGCUCUGCACGCGUGGGUUCGAAUCCCAUCCUCAUCGAUUGCACCAUUCUUACAUAAGUACAUCGUCUUCCAUUUCAUGGAAAAAAGUACAAUGAAUCAGGGACGUUUU
Molecule: long non-coding RNA, 2570 nt
Organism: Gadus morhua (Atlantic cod)
Lineage: Eukaryota; Metazoa; Chordata; Actinopteri; Gadiformes; Gadidae
Source: Ensembl